AACUUACCCAUAACUGAUGAAUAGCCCUCCGAAAGGAGGAUUAAUACAUCGUAACAUAAUGAAAGGGCAUCCUUUUAUUAUUAUAGCUCCGGCGGUUAUGGAUGGGCGUGCGGCUGAUUAGGUAGUUGGCGGAGUAAUAGCCCACCAAGCCUACGAUCAGUAACUGGUGUGAGAGCACGACCAGUCACACGGGCACUGAGACACGGGCCCGACUCCUACGGGAGGCAGCAGUAAGGAAUAUUGGUCAAUGGACGCAAGUCUGAACCAGCCAUGCCGCGUGAAG
This 283-nucleotide ribosomal RNA is filed under the name uncultured bacterium. Its description in RNAcentral is "partial 16S ribosomal RNA". It matches the Rfam family "Bacterial small subunit ribosomal RNA", at positions 123 to 406 of the family's 1533-position model. The record is from RNAcentral.